AUUCUUUUGUGUUUUGCAGAAUAAAGAAAGCCACAGGAGUUUGGAAUGAUAUGAUUAGGGUUGCAAGACACAUGAGAACCAGCGGCACUUGGUGUUACCAAGAAUAUGAAAAUGAAUUUGGAGAGAUAAGGCGUUCCAUCUUAAACCCAUGUACAUUUUUCCUCAUCGCGCGAGAAUUGACAGCCACACUUCACAUAGCCUGAGGUAAUUUUUCCCUAUCUAUGCUCUAGGUGUGCAUUUGGUAUGAUAAUAACCAGGUAAUGUCGUUAAGGGCUCAUAUAUUAUGACUGAAAUCUGAGCUCUUGUAAGCUCACAAAAACCCAAGAGUAGAAACUAAACACAUUGG
Cyprinus carpio (common carp) is the source of this 346-nucleotide long non-coding RNA. RefSeq lists it as uncharacterized. The transcript has 3 exons. NCBI's taxonomy places the organism in Eukaryota, Metazoa, Chordata, Actinopteri, Cypriniformes, Cyprinidae. The record is from RefSeq and is a predicted model, not a curated record.